GGGUGGUUAACGGGUCAACCCGUUAAUCACCCGUUAAAUAACAUAUCAGUUUGGGUGAACCUGCGAAGCCCGUUAACACCCAUUAGUAAGGACUUUUGUGUAAUUUCAAUAGUUUCCAAAACCCUCAAGUUCCUGACUUUCUCACUGCCUCGCACGCCAUUGCUCUCUGAGACUGAGAGAUUGAUGUGCUCCGUCCUUCUGGCUCCAGUUAUCUCCCUCAUCUUCUUCCCUCAAAAUUUUUAUUAAACUCCACCACUCUCUCUCUGCAUGUCUAUCAGAAACAUUUGUCACAUAGAGGUGAAUGUUGAAGGCAAAAAAGUAGCAUAGGAUGCAAUGCAAGAAGGUUGGCAAAAAUGCAAACAGAGGAUGCAAUGCAAGAAGAAGAAAGAGAGCUACUGUAGUCUGUAGUGAGACAUUGGUUGAGAUUUGAGAAAAAAGAAUUAGAGUGUUUUACUUAUAUCCAUGUUAAGAUUCGGAGAAACAUAUAACUAAUAGAAAGUCGAAUUUUAUUAUAUAAAAUGGGUUUGUAAUUGAUUUGGA
Pyrus x bretschneideri (Chinese white pear) is the source of this 540-nucleotide long non-coding RNA. RefSeq lists it as uncharacterized. The transcript is spliced from 2 exons. The record is from RefSeq and is a predicted model, not a curated record. NCBI's taxonomy places the organism in Eukaryota, Viridiplantae, Streptophyta, Magnoliopsida, Rosales, Rosaceae.